Molecule: transfer RNA, 84 nt
Filed under: Schistocephalus solidus
Lineage: Eukaryota; Metazoa; Platyhelminthes; Cestoda; Diphyllobothriidea; Diphyllobothriidae
Rfam family: tRNA
About the family: Transfer RNA (tRNA) molecules are approximately 80 nucleotides in length. Their secondary structure includes four short double-helical elements and three loops (D, anti-codon, and T loops).
Source: Rfam by way of RNAcentral
GGCCUCGUAGCUCAGUUGACCCGAGCGUUGGCUUUACUUAAGCCUUCCCCUUUGCCGACAUGGGUUCAAAUCCAACCGAGGCCA